AACUGCUUCGAAACUGCUAACACACUUGGUUGGAAGGUGGAAGGACGGUGAGGUCAUUCAACGUUUAGACAGGUAGUUGGCUGGUUCACCGCUACGCGCACAAGCUACACGCUCCUCUGUUACUUAUUAACGGAUUAGCGUAAAUGGUGCGCGUAUUUCAGGAACCAAGUGUUAAUUUGCAAUUCUAACGACGAUCGUACUUGAACGGAAAUGACCUUCGCGCGACGAAUGGCUUGUAGCGUUAAAAACACCGAUCCUCUGGAAGUGCUUUUUCGUUUCGUUAUCUGGUAAGUUUGAAUAAAUAACAGCGUCGACGAAACAAUUGACUCUGGAGAUCUGCAAGUGCACGCGCGAUGAAACUGACUUAUAGGUAAAUUACAGCGAGUUAUCUUGUUCCGUAGGUCUAGGUGCACGUUGUCGAGGCAUUUGCACGAACGACCUUCGUGCCCCCACCUGGGCACCGGGCGAACACCUUGGUUUACCAUGGUUCUUCGUGGAACCCUUCUCUCGGGUUCCGUCUGUUUAUUCUCUUUUUCGUGGCAGAUCAAGAACGGACAGUCGUCAGAAAUCGUACGAACCUCGGCACGUUUCACUCGAUCGUUUACACGCAACUCUGUACAUCUUGAUAAGCGUCCACGCGACACGAUUGAUCAUUAUGCACGCUGACUGCGAUUUAUGUGCCGCUCGGUGUUAACGGUAUUGCUUAAAGUAGUCUACGCUCGUUGACAAUGAAAUACCUAGUUGAAAACGACUCGCCUACUUCCGUGUUCUCAGAGACGUGCGCGUAAUCCUGGCGCUUUGCGCGAUCCUUUACGCGAGUUUAUUGACCCCCUUACUUGCUAGACUGGACUCCGCCGUGACUCAUGAAUUUCUUUGAGUGAAAAAAUAUAAUUUGUCGCUUCUCUGAACACGGUUAUAUUGUAAAGAUUCUAACAGGCAUGGGAAACGAAGAACUGUUUCAAGAGCAAGGCGAUAUCGUUAAACGAUGUCACUGGUGCGUACAUCAUACCAAGAGGCGAAGGUUGCGCCCAGCCCUUGGACUUCUUCCAACCUGGCAAUCGUUUCUACAUGCGACUGUUUAGCUUCGAUGCGCAUCUCGGGAAGCAACAGUCGGUAAUUACUUGGUACAACGAGAAACGUUGCCAAUUAGACCGUUUCAUUGUUAGUUGCUUUCGUUCGCUUUGUAUCUGCGGCACUUUGCUGCAUUUCAUCCCGAAUUUUGUUAUUUCACAAGAAAAACGUAUCCGCUGCGACAAAGGAACGGAAACGCAUAAGAAGUUGGUACUUUAGCCACGUUUAAAUCCACGUUUCCUGAACCGUGGCGUUUCUUGGAACGUAGCAGGAGACAGCGCGGGUGUUGCAUUCGUGUUGCGACAGGAUGCGGAAAAUGAAUUUGUUGGACACGUACGACACGGUUACGGUGACGAACGGCUCGGAAUGCCGCUUGCAAAACCUGAAUCUUUCACUACGAUGCAUCUGGCGAUUUCAAUGCAACAUCACCGAUGGAGAUAUCGUAAAAAUUCGAUUGAUAUGCUCGUCGAGAUGAAAUAAUCGCGAACAUAUGUUUCGUACAAACUGGAUUCAUUUCUUUCGGGUUGAUUUGAUAAGUUGAUUAAUCGAUUAUAACGAUUUCGCGAAGCAAACCUCGCUAUACACGGUCUUGUAAGAAUCAAGGUACGAAGUGUGAUCGAAGUGAAAGUGAAACUGAGGUCCUCCACGUAACACUUCGGAUUCAGGUAUCCGCGAACUUUCAGCCUUAAUAAAAAUCUAAUUAAAAUAUAUAAAUUUGAUAACUGUAAUUUGCUGAUCAUUUAGAAUUUAAAAAUACAAAAUAAAUUUAGAUUGAUGAGA
Molecule: long non-coding RNA, 1851 nt
Organism: Osmia bicornis bicornis
Lineage: Eukaryota; Metazoa; Arthropoda; Insecta; Hymenoptera; Megachilidae
Exons: 2
Source: RefSeq, a predicted model, not a curated record